CCAUCACCCACGUCAUCGUCCCCAAGCAGCUGGGAGGCCCCGACUCCUGCACCACGGAGAACGAGGAGGAGCUCUUUGUCAUCCAGGACCAGCAUGGCCUCGUCACCCUGGGCUGGAUCCAUACCCACCCCACCCAGACAGCCUUCCUGUCCAGCGUGGACCUGCACACCCACUGCUCCUACCAGAUGAUGCUGCCGGAGUCCAUCGCCAUCGUGUGCUCUCCCAAAUACCAGGAACCUGCAACCACGUGUCAAUAGUGGAGAGAGACGUGGUGAUGAUGGAUCUCCGAUAAACCUCUUGCCUUGUCCCCUUCACAGGAGCCACCCACCCUCCUUUAGGCCUAGGGAAUCGGUUUUCUUCUCCUGUAGCAGAUGAUUUCUACGGUGUAGUGAUCCCUCCCCUCCCUCCCCGUGGUGGAAUCAGAUCCCUGCCCUCAGGAACCUCAGUGCCUGCUGUGGGGCUGGCAGAGGGGGCUCCAGCUGUGGGGAGAAGCCAGCUGCCAGAGACAGAAACCAACACUAAAAGCAAUUGUUGAACUCUAAUCCACGCCCCAACAGCCUCCUGGGGAGCUUCCCCGUGACCCUGAGCUGUGGAAACCUCUUCAAGUGCUUUUGGGACUCACCCAGUUUGUCUCAUGCCCUGUUUUGUCCCUCCUGGGCUGCUCGGUCUCAGCUCCCAGGAGCAGAUAAAUCCUUGCUGUGCU
Molecule: long non-coding RNA, 703 nt
Filed under: Parus major (Great Tit)
Lineage: Eukaryota; Metazoa; Chordata; Aves; Passeriformes; Paridae
Description: lncRNA (ENSPMJG00000015789.1)
Source: RNAcentral